UGUGUGAGUGAUGAGAACAAAAAUCUUGUGU
Molecule: non-coding RNA, 31 nt
Filed under: Mus musculus (house mouse)
Lineage: Eukaryota; Metazoa; Chordata; Mammalia; Rodentia; Muridae
Source: RNAcentral